RNAcentral lists this ribosomal RNA (468 nucleotides) under uncultured bacterium. RNAcentral describes it as "partial 16S ribosomal RNA". It matches the Rfam family "Bacterial small subunit ribosomal RNA", at positions 28 to 507 of the family's 1533-position model. The record is from RNAcentral.
GACGAACGCUGGCGGCGUGCUUAAUACAUGCAAGUCGAACGGAAAGGCCCGGCUUUUGUGGGGUUUUCGAGUGGCGCACGGGUGAGUGACACGUGAGUAACCUGUCCUUGACAUUGGGGUAACAUAUGGGGAAUGGAGCGCAUAUAGCAUAUAACAUCCUUAUGCAUGCUUGUUGUUGUAAAAUGACGGCGGUUCGGGAUGGACUGGCGGUUUAGCAUCUUGUUGGUGGGGUAGUGGCUUAACACGGCUCUGACGGGUAGCCGGACUGAGAGGGUGACAGGCCACAUUGGGACUGAGAUACGGCCCAUACGGAUACGGGAGGAAGCAGUGGGGAAUAGUGCACGAAGGGCGGAAGCCGGAUGCAGCAACUCCGCGUGCGGGAUGACUGCUGGCGGGGUAUAAAGCGCUUGCGCGUGGGACGAAGAGAGAGUGACGGUAAUGGGUAAAGAAGCAACGGCUAACUACGUG